Molecule: ribosomal RNA, 497 nt
Filed under: uncultured bacterium
Lineage: Bacteria
Description: partial 16S ribosomal RNA
Rfam family: Bacterial small subunit ribosomal RNA
Source: RNAcentral
GAUGAACGCUGGCGGUGUGCCUAACACAUGCAAGUCGAGCGGACAGAUCAGGAGCUUUCUUCUUUGUAGUACUCGGCGGAUGGUUGAGUAACACUUGGUAACCUUACCUAUAACACUCUUAUAACUUCGGAUAACCUGGGCAAAUCCCGGCUAACAUUUAGAACCACAUUUUUCUAGAGUGAAAGAUGGUUUUGCUAUCACUUAUACAUUGUCCCGAGCCGUAUUAGCUAGUUGGUAAGGUAAAGGUUUACCAAGGCGACGAUAAGUAGCCGACCUGAGAGGGUGAACGGCCACAUUGGAACUGAGACACGGCCCAGACUCCUACGGGAGGCAGCAGUAGGGAAUCUUCCGCAAUGGGCGAAAGCCUGACGGAGCAAUGCCGCGUGAGUGAAGAAGGGUUUCGGGUCGUAAAACUCUGUCAUUAGCGAAGAAAGAAUGUGGAAGUAACUGAGAAUACCAUGACGGUAGAUAAGCAGAAAGCCACGGCUAACUACGUG